CCUACGGGGGGCUGCAGUGAGGAAUAUUGGUCAAUGGGCGGGAGCCUGAACCAGCCAAGUCGCGUGAGGGAAGACGGUCCUAUGGAUUGUAAACCUCUUUAGGCGGGGAGCAAUGCCGGGCACGUGUGCCCGGAGGGAGAGUACCCGCAGAAUAAGCAUCGGCUAACUCCGUGCCAGCAGCCGCGGUAAUACGGAGGAUGCGAGCGUUAUCCGGAUUUAUGGGGUUUAAAGGGUGCGUAGGCGGAUUUUUAAGUCAGCGGUAAAAUGUCCGGGCUCAACCCGGGCCGGCCGUUGAAACUGGGGAUCUUGAGUGGGCGAGAAGUAUGCGGAAUGCGUGGUGUAGCGGUGAAAUGCAUAGAUAUCACGCAGAACUCCGAUUGCGAAGGCAGCAUACCGGCGCCCGACUGACGCUGAGGCACGAAAGCGUGGGGAUCGAACAGGAUUAGAUACCCCAGUAGUC
Molecule: ribosomal RNA, 460 nt
Filed under: uncultured bacterium
Lineage: Bacteria
Description: partial 16S ribosomal RNA
Rfam family: Bacterial small subunit ribosomal RNA
Source: RNAcentral